RNAcentral lists this ribosomal RNA (327 nucleotides) under uncultured eukaryote. RNAcentral describes it as "partial 18S ribosomal RNA". It matches the Rfam family "Eukaryotic small subunit ribosomal RNA", at positions 1470 to 1796 of the family's 1831-position model. The record is from RNAcentral.
CCCUUAGAUGUUCUGGGCCGCACGCGCGCUACACUGACGAAUGCAACGAGCUUAUAACCUUGGCCGAAAGGUCUGGGUAAUCUCCAAAUUUCGUCGUGAUGGGGAUAGAUUAUUGCAAUUAUUAAUCUUCAACGAGGAAUGCCUAGUAAGCGCAAGUCAUCAGCUUGCGUUGAUUACGUCCCUGCCCUUUGUGCACACCGCCCGUCGCUCCUACCGAUUGAAUGGUCCGGUGAAGCGUUCGGACCGUGGCCUUUGGACGGUUCGCCGUCUGUUGGCUGCGGGAAGUUCGUUAAACCUUAUCAUUUAGAGGAAGGAGAAGUCGUANCA